UAGGUCCCUGACUCAAAACUAAGUCUAACUUGCAGAAGGAUUUAGAACUUCCAUCUGCUGUAGAAGGCAAUAGGAAGAUAUAAAGUACAUCCAUAAACCACUAUACGGCGGUCUCCUGGUAAAUACUGUAUUCUCUCCACUGGGUAUUACUGCAUAACAGCUGUUCCUGAGUAGGCCUUCAUCGGUCCAGCACCAGUGUGUUUGUGAAGUGGUCCUGCUGCGCAGCAAAACCAGCUGGUCUAAAACUCAGGCGCCUGGUGUUGUCUUCUUGAAGAACACCUCCACCCUAAGAAAGAGCAGAUCUUUUGCAGACAUUUUAUGGCAGCUCAUUUCCAGUCUGCCCUGCUCCAAACCACUUCUGCACUUUGGGAAGGCCCAGAUGUGGGCCACAUCACCA
This 397-nucleotide long non-coding RNA is filed under the name Apteryx rowi (Okarito brown kiwi). Its description in RNAcentral is "lncRNA (ENSARWG00000015083.1)". Lineage: Eukaryota; Metazoa; Chordata; Aves; Apterygiformes; Apterygidae. The record is from RNAcentral.